Anas platyrhynchos (mallard) is the source of this 2226-nucleotide non-coding RNA. The record is from RefSeq and is a predicted model, not a curated record. NCBI's taxonomy places the organism in Eukaryota, Metazoa, Chordata, Aves, Anseriformes, Anatidae.
UUGAACUUUUAAUAAUUGUUGUAGAUGACCUAAAAGGAAUAGAAAUAUGAAGAAAUCUGUUAUGAGGAUGACAGAUCCUCAUCCUCAUCACGCUGAGGAUGGCAUGCCACUGAAAUCUGGUUAAAAAGCAGAAAAGUUCCAUGGAGGGCUCUAAACAGGACUGAAAAAAGGCCAAUAUAUUAAAACAGGAAACAAUACAUGGUGCACAAUGAGAAAAGAGAAAGUGACUGAAGAUUUUGGAAAAGUCUAACUUCAUCUGUCAUGCAAAAAUAGGUGGUCGUUCCUUCUGCUUCUACAUAACAGCAUGGGAUCCUAUAGUUGGAAUGAGGUAUCAGAAGAUCUAGUGGUUCGGUGUGCUUUUGUUAAAUGGCAAGUUUUUAGAGAGGACCAAAGGCCUGCCUGGAGGGUUUCAGAGGUAGAGGGAAGGAAAACUGGCAACUGUCUGGCAACUGGUGUCAGCCUACCUACAAAUAACCUGCUUACUGCUGAGAUUCAACUGUAUGGUAAUUGCAGCAUAACCAAUUCAUUCAAGUCUUGGAGAAGUGCUUUUGUCAUUUUUAAUCUAAAUAAAUCCCUUCAACUGUUAGGGGAAAAUGCAGUAUUGUUUUGGGGUGUGUAUUUUUUGAAAAUGUAUGCAUUUUUCUGAAUCUCCAGGUAGAUUGCUUAACCUCUGCAGUUCAGUAACAUAAGCAAACCUUUUUAACUGGCAGCAGCACUGCCCUGGAGGCGCAUCUUCUGCAGAACUAACACAGCUUCUGCCGGGUAUAACAGGACUCGCUCAGGCUUCAGCAGUCCCUCUUCUGGUGAGUGUGUGAACAGCUAUUCCACGAGUUCAGGUAGACAUUCCUUUAUUUUUAUCCCGAUACUCUUUGUUGGAUUGAUUGACUUCUGCUGCAAUGCAUGCAUUCUAUCUCCAAGCUUUAUGAGCGCCCUAACACAUUUAUCUCUGCAUUUUCUUCUUUAAAAGAAGGGUGUUGUGUUUUAUAAAAUCACAGAAGAAUGUUCUGCACAAACUUUUCUGAUUUGUAGUACUUAUUUCUGGGUGAGGAAGUGGAAGUGAGUUGAUAGUGGUUGCAGGCUACUCCAUUUACUAAAGCGCAUAUAAGUAUAUCCUGGUUUCAGUUAGGACAGGGUUAAUUUUCUUCCUAGUAGCUGGUAGAAUGCUAUGUUUUGGCUUAGGAUGAGAAGAGUGCUGAUAACACAGCCCAAAGUCAUUGCAACCUUUUUUGUUCUCUCUAUUUAGUCUUAUCACUAGGUAUUUUAACUAAUAAAGAUUGAAAAAGAAGGCUCUAGAGUUAAUAUAGAGGAAUAUAUUUCCUUGUAAGAAAGGAGGAGAAGGAAGAUUCCUGAACAUUGAGAAUGGCUUUGUCAGAUGAUCACACUGUAGAAACAUGUGAAUGUUAAAUCUAGUUUUAAUAUAGCAAAACAGCAGUACCCAAUACACCUAGUAAGCAAACUUUUUUCAGUAAAUACUUCUGUCCUUAUUCCAUCUCUGUACAAUGGAUGUAUCUGUACUAUAAAGCAUUUGUGUUCUACAUUUUCUUGUUUCAGUGACAUACAGUUCUAUGUCCAGGUAUCUCUGAACCUCUGGUUUCUACUUUUAGCCUUAGAUAUCAAAGUUCCUAAUUGAAUUUGUGAGAUAAUUUUCUUUCCUUAUUAUGGUCUUCUAUUAACCUUUCUCAUUUCUCUGAGAUUUAUUAUCUAUCCUUUGCUUGCCAGUGGUUGGAAUACGUUUGCCUUGAGAGGUCUGGUACAGUAAGAGGGGUAUGAAUUCUACUCACAUUAAUUCUUCAAUGACUUUACUAACCUUUUUCAUUCAUUUUUUACUUUCCUGAUCCUUUUUUAAGAUGGAGAUUAAUUAUGCAUAUCAGCUUUAUCAAAAUCAAGCCUAAUCAGUCACAGUUUUGUAGUGUGUAUAGAUGAUACACAUAACAAAAAAACAAACAAACAAACAACAACAACAACAACAAAAAAAGCCUCACUCUCUGUGAGGGAGAAAGAAAAAAUAAGAGUAACAUUGUAGUGAUGUAGUAAGUAUAGUUUUACUGUACAGUAAAACUGUAAUAAGAUGUUAUAUUAUUGAAAUAUUAUGCUGAAAAUAUACUCUGUCAUUUUCACAAAAAUGCUCUCCUAUUUGGAAGAAAAUCUCCACACUUGUUCUUGACCCGUACAUGUAUUUUCAUAAAACCGGAGAAACCCAAAUUACUUCUGAUUUAUGUAAGCACU